Small nucleolar RNA from Tachysurus fulvidraco (yellow catfish), 154 nucleotides. RefSeq annotates it as small nucleolar RNA U109. The transcript has a single exon. Lineage: Eukaryota; Metazoa; Chordata; Actinopteri; Siluriformes; Bagridae. The record is from RefSeq and is a predicted model, not a curated record.
UUGCAUGCAGUGGCUUUACUGCCACAACACAUCCACCUCUCGCUACUGAUGAGAUUGUGGAUAUAUAAACAGCAUGCUAGAGUAAUAUGGGAGUCAACAGGGCCACCAGUCUCUCAAGAACGGACUGUGUUGGUAGUAUAGCACUCCUACAGUA